UACGGGGGGAGCAAGCGUUGUUCGGAUUUACUGGGCGUAAAGGGCGCGUAGGCGGCCACCGCAAGUCGGACUGUGAAAUCUCCGGGCUUAACCCGGAAAGGUCAGCCGAUACUGCGGGGCUAGAGUGCAGAAGGGGCAACUGGAAUUCUCGGUGUAGCGGUGAAAUGCGUAGAUAUCGAGAGGAACACCUGCGGCGAAGGCGGGUUGCUGGGCUGACACUGACGCUGAUGCGCGAAAGCUAGGGGAGCGAACGGG
RNAcentral lists this ribosomal RNA (255 nucleotides) under uncultured bacterium. RNAcentral's name for it is "partial 16S ribosomal RNA". It matches the Rfam family "Bacterial small subunit ribosomal RNA", at positions 524 to 776 of the family's 1533-position model. The record is from RNAcentral.